Molecule: ribosomal RNA, 435 nt
Filed under: uncultured bacterium
Lineage: Bacteria
Description: bacterial SSU rRNA
Rfam family: Bacterial small subunit ribosomal RNA
Source: RNAcentral
AACGCGAAGAACCUUACCAAGUCUUGACAUCCCCCUGACCGUUCCGCAAUGGGAACUUCUCUUCGGAGCAGGGGAGACAGGUGGUGCAUGGUUGUCGUCAGCUCGUGUCGUGAGAUGUUGGGUUAAGUCCCGCAACGAGCGCAACCCUUAUCCUUAGUAGCCAGCAGGUAAAGCUGGGCACUCUAGGGAGACUGCCAGGGAGAACCUGGAGGAAGGUGGGGAUGACGUCAAAUCAUCAUGCCCCUUAUGACUUGGGCUACACGCGUGCUACAAUGGCGUAAACAAAGGGAAGCAGCCCUGUGAAGGUGAGCAAAUCCCAAAAAUAACGUCUCAGUUCGGAUUGUAGUCUGCAACUCGACUACAUGAAGCUGGAAUCGCUAGUAAUCGCGGAUCAGAAUGCCGCGGUGAGUACGUUCCCGGGUCUUGUACACACCG